RNAcentral lists this long non-coding RNA (1593 nucleotides) under Salmo salar (Atlantic salmon). Its description in RNAcentral is "lncRNA (ENSSSAG00000117976.1)". Lineage: Eukaryota; Metazoa; Chordata; Actinopteri; Salmoniformes; Salmonidae. The record is from RNAcentral.
GUCUUAGUCCAGACAGAGGAAGAGAAGAAGGAUGUUGAACAUGGACAGAGUAGUAGGCAAGGCCCAGUUCUGUAACAUUGUAGUAACAGAGGAACAUGGGUAGGAAGGCCCCAAUCACUCUCUCUCUCAUUCUCACACACUCAUAGAAGGUUCAGUCUCACCCACACGUGGAACACAAAGAAGAAUGAAGAUUGAGAGAGAAUUGACAUUGAUUAAAGAAAAUAAUAAUAAGAAGAAGAAAUGAAUUGGGAAUUUAUGAAUAUAAUAAUGAAAGGUUAAAUAUGUUAAAUGUUGGAAGCAUUGGGAAACAUAUAGUGGGAGAUAUUAAAAGGUGAUUCAAGUAAUGCAGUAAAAUGGUUCAGAAUGUUUUAAUGUUGGUUGCUUUAAGGUACGAUGCUUGUAGACUGUGUUGGUAGGUUUAAAGGACAAGGCCUUAUGGUCUGUAGGAGGUUGGUAAUGACAUGUUAUAAUGAUGAAAUGGUAUAAUGUUGAAGGGUUUUAAAAAUGUUGAAUGUUUAGGAAGUAAUGGGAAGAAUAGGUUCGAGUGGGAUUAUAAUUGAGAAGGGAAUGUUAAUGUUUAAAAAUGAAUGUUUAGAAAUAAAUGUUUUAAAAGUUAAUGAUAAUGGAGUGUACUGAGGGUGCUAUCUUGCUUUGGGAAUCCCCCGGUCAGAGCAGCCAGGAGGAGGCAUCCUGUCUAGACGUCCUGCCUAUGUGAGGAAAGAUGGGGGUUAGUGGGUGCUGAAAGAGCACCUUUUGAGUGUUAGCCACAAUGAGUUAACAGAAAGGAAGAUGGAGGGUAUAAAGGAGGCAUCAUUCUGGAGAAGGGUACGACUCUCUAUUAGCUUCAACAACCUGUGGACUGAUGGAAGAAGAUUUCUGCUGUAGCUUUUUAGCUUGAAAUGUAUUUUUAUAUAUAUUAAACUCAUAUUUAGAUUUAUAUUAUACUCAUAUUUAGAUUUGUAUUAUACUCAUAUUUAGAUUUAUAUUAUACUCAUAUUUAGAUUUAUAGCUUGAAAUACAUUCCGUUUUUUAUUAUUCUCAUAUUUAGAUUUGUAUUAUUCUCAGUUAAAGUAAAAUUCUAGGAGGGAUCCUUAAGGUUUCCUCAAUGAUAGAAGUGUGUUAAAGUAGCUGGUAGAGUUUUUAGACGCCAACUGAGGGACUGAUCAUCCUGAGGGGGGAGAUAAAAAACAGUAUAUAAAGUUGUAGAAGGUAAGAACCUGUUUUUCUAUGUAUUAAUUACUGUGCUUCUCAUAAAGUUGUAAAAAUACAAAACAUAUUGUAUUGGCAAUAAGGGUAUAGUUAAGGGCGUUGAAGGUGUCUAUCAAUUUAAUUUACUGUUGAUGUUGCUUAUCAUUGAUUGGCGAUGUUAAUUUGUGAUUGACUGAUUGAUCUGGAAUAUUUUAUCCAUGUUUCUGGAAUGUUGAAUAAAGUUGCUUUAUUGUUCUGAAACCCUGUGUCAUCAAAGAGUCAUACAAGUUCAUGUCGUUUUACUUUCAGUUUCUGAAAUAGACUUAAAUAAUUGAGGAUUUUUUGCAUCUGGUUAGUUAGUCUAGAGGAGACCUGAGUAGCUGGUAUAAAUAAAAUACAAUUUGA